RNAcentral lists this ribosomal RNA (468 nucleotides) under uncultured bacterium. Its description in RNAcentral is "partial 16S ribosomal RNA". It matches the Rfam family "Bacterial small subunit ribosomal RNA", at positions 28 to 507 of the family's 1533-position model. The record is from RNAcentral.
GACGAACGCUGGCGGCGUGCUUAACACAUGCAAGUCGAACGGAAAGGCCCUGCUUUUGUGGGUUGCUCGAUUGGCGAACGGGUGAGUAACACGUGAGUAACAUGCCCUUGACUUUGGGAUAAAUUCAGGAAACUGGGGCUAAUACCGGAUAGGAGCUCCUGCUGCAUGGUGGGGGUUGGAAAGUUUCGGCGGUUGGGGAUGGACUCGCGGCUUAUCAGCUUGUUGGUGGGGUAGUGGCUUACCAAGGCUUUGACGGGUAGCCGGCCUGAGAGGGGGACCGGCCACCUUGGUCCUGAGAUAGGGCCCAGUAUCCUAUGGGCGGCAGUAGGGGGGAAUAUUGCACAAUGGGCGGAAGUCUGAUGCAGCAACGCCGCGUGCGGGAUGACGUCCUUCGGGUUGUAAACCGCUUUCGCCUGUGCCGAAGCGUGAGUGACGGUAAUGGGUAAAGAAGCACCGGCUAACUACGUG